GAGGUUGCUCUUGCUGCGCAGAAACUUUCUAUUCCAGUCCGGGGAUAUGUAUCCUGUGUUGUCAGGUGUCCAGAGGAAGGAGAAGUCGUACGUGAUGGGGAUAGAUCAUUGCAAUUGUUGGUCUUAAACGAGGAAUUCCUAGUAAGCGCGAGUCAUCAGCUCGCGUUGACUAC
RNAcentral lists this non-coding RNA (173 nucleotides) under Daucus carota subsp. sativus. RNAcentral describes it as "rRNA SSU_rRNA_eukarya". It matches the Rfam family "Eukaryotic small subunit ribosomal RNA", at positions 1513 to 1648 of the family's 1831-position model. Lineage: Eukaryota; Viridiplantae; Streptophyta; Magnoliopsida; Apiales; Apiaceae. The record is from Rfam by way of RNAcentral.